RNAcentral lists this ribosomal RNA (439 nucleotides) under uncultured bacterium. RNAcentral's name for it is "partial 16S ribosomal RNA". It matches the Rfam family "Bacterial small subunit ribosomal RNA", at positions 339 to 795 of the family's 1533-position model. The record is from RNAcentral.
CUACGGGCCGCUGCAGUGAGGAAUAUUGCACAAUGGGGGGAACCCUGAUGCAGCAACGCCGCGUGGAGGAUGACGCAUUUCGGUGUGUAAACUCCUUUUAUAUGUCAAGAAAAUGGCGGUAGCAUAUGAAUAAGCACCGGCUAACUCCGUGCCAGCAGCCGCGGUAAUACGGAGGGUGCAAGCGUUACUCGGAAUCACUGGGCGUAAAGGACGCGUAGGCGGGUUGGAAAGUCAGGUGUGAAAUCCUACAGCUUAACUGUAGGACUGCACUUGAAACUUCUAAUCUAGAGUAUGGGAGGGGGAGAUGGAAUUAGUGGCGUAGGGGUAAAAUCCGUAGAUAUCACUAGGAAUACCUAAAGCGAAGGCGAUCUCCUGGAACAUUACUGACGCUAAGGCGUGAAAGCGUGGGGAGCAAACAGGAUUAGAUACCCCCGUAGUC